Lycium barbarum (goji berry) is the source of this 1061-nucleotide long non-coding RNA. RefSeq lists it as uncharacterized. The record is from RefSeq and is a predicted model, not a curated record. The transcript is spliced from 3 exons. Lineage: Eukaryota; Viridiplantae; Streptophyta; Magnoliopsida; Solanales; Solanaceae.
UUUACUUUGUUAAAAUCAAGUUAUUUCAAUAAUAUAUUUAGUGCUAAUCCCCUCAAUCCAGUUAGUCUCUGCUCAGGUCAGAGUUCUCAAUUAUCAAAAGUGACCAUAAGAUGAAUAGUCACCGAGUUUAAGAGAAUAUUUCUAGCGUUUCACCUUAUAAUUAUCCGAUACAUGUUUUCUUUUAUUUUUCUUCUCUUUGCAAUAUAUGUUAUUGGUCAAAUUUCCUCCCAUGUUAGGUACUUUUGUUUUUGGCGUUUAGCUAUGGAGGUGCCGAGGUGGUACUACUAUAUAUGAUGUUUCAUGUAUUAAGUGCAAUCUAUGUUCCCACCCUAUAAGAGAUUAGCUUGGUUAUGUUUCGAAACGGUCUUACUUUCGAAAGAUUAAAUGGAUAAAGAUGGCUUUUCUUACUUUAAAAGAUAAAUUAACUUAUCAUUUUUUACGACUUACUUAAUUUGUUGUUUGUAUUUAUUUUGUUAUUUUUCAGAUUUUGGUUCUAUGGAUUUACUACAAACUAAUCAAGCGUUUAUGCCAAACUUGAAUGACAACAAAAUAGAAGUUUUAAGCUUGCAAGUUACUUGUAACGCCUAUGGAAGGAAUGGUCUACACCACAGUACUGUUCAUGGAGAAUGAUUUAGGUGAUUUCGUUAGGCGAGAAGGAUGGAUGUUAUGUUGUUGGAAAAGCAGUGUUGAUACCCUUUAUACUCCAAGAUCUGAAGGCGAAAGUUUGUUCCCUUCAAUGUUAAGUCCUUCUCUUUUAAUGGAUUGAAGAGUGCAAUAAGGAAUUUUAGACCUAACAGAGGAAGGAGAGGAAAGAAGAUGUGUCUAAGCUUUUAAAUUUUAGAGGAACACUUCAAGGGUCCAUUGAAAUGUGUUGGAGGAUACAAUACUGGAAGGGUCUUGACCUCUUAUUUGAGUAUCAAUCUAUAUGUGUUUAUGAGAAGCAUGUGCCUUUUUUUAUAUACCUAUUAUUUUUAUUUAGCAUUGCAAUUCUUCUGAGAUUUUAAUUUUCUUUGUUUUUGUAUCAAAUUGAUGUUCUUAGAAAGAGGCUUGAGGCUAACAAA